UGUUGAAACUGUGAAGAGUUAUUGCAACAACAACAACAACAUAUACCUAAUGGGGUCUGGGCAGGGUAGAGUGCAUGCAGACCUUACCCCUACCUCAUGGAGGUAGAGAGGUGGUUUCCGGAAGACCUUCGGAUCUUGACUUAUUAUGCGGAAGUAAAUGCAUGUUUUAUUACAGAUGCGAAACAAUUAGGUGGGCCAAAACUAUUUUAAUGCGGUUGCGCAAUGGGUUACUACUUGAAUAGAAGUUUGCCUAUUGAAGCUUGAAGUUGAGAUUGAGCAAUUUCAAAGAUUUGGGACAAGUAAGAUAGCUUCUAAAGCUUCUUCUGUCAAAUGCCAUGAACUUAGUAUGGUGAGUUUAAAUUUCUAUUUUCUUUCUCGUUCACUUAGUUGAGCUUUCCUUGGUAGGAAAAGAAAGGAAAUUUAUUUCUCUCAAAUUUUGUUACUAUAUAGUAAUUCUCCUUGACACCUGACAUUUUGUAAAUUUUCUCGGUAAGAUAGUACUUUGUUAUCUUGAUUUGAGAAGCUUAUACACCUUGGAGUAUGCAAGUGUACAAGU
Solanum verrucosum is the source of this 556-nucleotide long non-coding RNA. RefSeq lists it as uncharacterized. The record is from RefSeq and is a predicted model, not a curated record. NCBI's taxonomy places the organism in Eukaryota, Viridiplantae, Streptophyta, Magnoliopsida, Solanales, Solanaceae. The transcript is spliced from 3 exons.